This 73-nucleotide transfer RNA is filed under the name Nematostella vectensis (starlet sea anemone). It matches the Rfam family "tRNA". Rfam says of the family: Transfer RNA (tRNA) molecules are approximately 80 nucleotides in length. Their secondary structure includes four short double-helical elements and three loops (D, anti-codon, and T loops). The record is from Rfam by way of RNAcentral. Lineage: Eukaryota; Metazoa; Cnidaria; Anthozoa; Actiniaria; Edwardsiidae.
CCCCGGUUAGCUUAGAUGGUAGAACAUCAGACUUUUAAUCUGAGGGUCAAGGGUUCGAGCCCCAUAUCGGGCG